CCUACGGGUGGCAGCAGUGGGGAAUAUUGGACAAUGGGGGCAACCCUGAUCCAGCCAUGCCGCGUGUGUGAAGAAGGCCCUCGGGUUGUAAAGCACUUUCAGUGAGGAAGAACGCCUGGUGGUUAAUACCCAUCAGGAAAGACAUCACCCACAGAAGAAGCACCGGCUAACUCCGUGCCAGCAGCCGCGGUAAUACGGAGGGUGCGAGCGUUAAUCGGAAUUACUGGGCGUAAAGCGCGCGUAGGUGGCUUGAUAAGCCGGUUGUGAAAGCCCCGGGCUCAACCUGGGAACGGCAUCCGGAACUGUCAAGCUAGAGUGCAGGAGAGGAAGGUAGAAUUCCCGGUGUAGCGGUGAAAUGCGUAGAGAUCGGGAGGAAUACCAGUGGCGAAGGCGGCCUUCUGGACUGACACUGACACUGAGGUGCGAAAGCGUGGGUAGCAAACAGGAUUAGAUACCCGUGUAGUC
Molecule: ribosomal RNA, 465 nt
Filed under: Vreelandella stevensii
Lineage: Bacteria; Pseudomonadati; Pseudomonadota; Gammaproteobacteria; Oceanospirillales; Halomonadaceae
Description: partial 16S ribosomal RNA
Rfam family: Bacterial small subunit ribosomal RNA
Source: RNAcentral